RNAcentral lists this ribosomal RNA (503 nucleotides) under uncultured Actinomycetes bacterium. RNAcentral describes it as "bacterial SSU rRNA". It matches the Rfam family "Bacterial small subunit ribosomal RNA", at positions 38 to 526 of the family's 1533-position model. Lineage: Bacteria; Bacillati; Actinomycetota; Actinomycetes. The record is from RNAcentral.
GGCGGCGCGCUUAACACAUGCAAGUCGAGCGAGAACCAAGACCUCNGGGUUUUGGGGACAGCGGCGAACGGGUGAGUAACACGUGAGUAAUCCACCCUUGGUACCGGGAUAGCUCGGGGAAACUCGAAUUAAUACCGGAUAGCCCAUUAGCCUUUCGAGGCGAAUGGAAAAGGUAGCUUCGGCCUCCGACCAAGGACGAGCUCGCGGCGGAUUAGCUUGUUGGCGGGGUAAUGGCCCACCAAGGCGACGAUCCGUAGCUGGUCUGAGAGGACGAUCAGCCACACUGGGACUGAGACACGGCCCAGACUCCUACGGGAGGCAGCAGUGGGGAAUCUUGCGCAAUGGGCGAAAGCCUGACGCAGCGACGCCGCGUGAGGGAAGAAGGCCUUCGGGUUGUAAACCUCUUUCAGAAGGGACGAAGCCACUCGGGUUAAUAGCCCAGAGGGUGACGGUACCUUCAGAAGAAGCCCCGGCUAACUACGUGCCAGCAGCCGCGGUAAUAC